Molecule: transfer RNA, 77 nt
Filed under: bacterium ADurb.Bin157
Lineage: Bacteria
Description: tRNA-Asp
Rfam family: tRNA
About the family: Transfer RNA (tRNA) molecules are approximately 80 nucleotides in length. Their secondary structure includes four short double-helical elements and three loops (D, anti-codon, and T loops).
Source: RNAcentral
UGGAUCGGUAGUUCAGUCGGUUUAGAACGCCGGCCUGUCACGCCGGAGGUCGCGGGUUCGAGUCCCGUCCGAUCCGU